Medicago truncatula (barrel medic) is the source of this 161-nucleotide small nuclear RNA. It matches the Rfam family "U1 spliceosomal RNA". Rfam says of the family: U1 is a small nuclear RNA (snRNA) component of the spliceosome (involved in pre-mRNA splicing). Its 5' end forms complementary base pairs with the 5' splice junction, thus defining the 5' donor site of an intron. NCBI's taxonomy places the organism in Eukaryota, Viridiplantae, Streptophyta, Magnoliopsida, Fabales, Fabaceae. The record is from Rfam.
AUACUUACCUGGAUGGGGUCAAUGGGUGAUCAAGAAGGCCCAUGGCCUAGGAAGGUGACCUCCAUUGCACUUUGGAGGGGUGCCUUCCUAAGGUCUACCCAAGUGGUGGAGCCUACAUCAUAAUUUGUUGCUGUGGGGGCCUGCGUUCGCGCGGCCCCCUC